RNAcentral lists this long non-coding RNA (886 nucleotides) under Ananas comosus (pineapple). RNAcentral describes it as "long non-coding RNA (ACOM_LNC027727)". Lineage: Eukaryota; Viridiplantae; Streptophyta; Magnoliopsida; Poales; Bromeliaceae. The record is from RNAcentral.
CUGCUAACCUACUGUCCUUGCAGAAGUGGCAACUUUUGAGCGCCCGAAACCUACAUCUGGGCGUCCGAAACCCCCAAGCCAUACAAAGCCUCCACUUCGGUUCCUCCGCCUGCGGUCUGCUGCGCCCGAAACCUCGUCCGACAGAUCUCACCUACCACUAGACACAUGUCAGCGCAAACGAUAUUCCCAAGGUGAAUUUUCGGACCCAUAUCUGGGCACCCGGAACCUAGGAUCCGAAUUGCCUUCCAGUUUCAGUUCAAACAAGCACUCAAGUUCUGGGCGACCCAGACCCAGUUCUGGGCGACCCAGACCCAGUUCUGGGCGCCCGAAACUGACAAAACUCCAGUUUUGCUUAUUUGAGUACGCUAAGUCAAUUUCUACAUCCAUUUUGUGCAGAAACGACUCCGACUCAGUUCGACACACUCUAGAUGUAUCGACCAGUCACUAAUACUGUAGCCAAUCCAAUCCAAAACCCCGGAACACUACACUCACUUUAGUACCCUGUGGUUUAAAGUGUAUCAAUUUAGUACUUUAUGAUUUUAUUUUUCUCUUUUCAUUGGCUCCUCUGUUAAUAUUUCAUUAAAUUAUAUACAAAAAACUUCAGAUAUCCUAUCUAGAUUUAUCAAAUAUUUACUUUAGUAUCCUUUAGUUUUAACUUUGUCAAUGAUUUGACGAAAAAAAUUAAUAAAAUGAAUAAUAAAAAGAGAGAAAUGAAACCACAAAGUACUAACUUAAUAAUAAUACACUUUAAAGCACAUGGUACUCAAGUGAGUAUGUGCGAAAUGACAGAUGUUAACUUAAUACACUUUAAAUCAUACGGUACUAAAGUGAGAAAGUGUGAAAGGUAUUUGAAGUUUGCCCCAAACUUUUGUGGUUACAAACACAC